GCGCCCUUAGCUCAGUUGGUUAGAGCGACGGCCUUAUAAGCCGUGUCUGUGCUGAGUUCGAGUCUCAGAGGGCGUA
This 76-nucleotide transfer RNA is filed under the name Caudoviricetes sp. RNAcentral describes it as "tRNA-Ile". It matches the Rfam family "tRNA". Rfam says of the family: Transfer RNA (tRNA) molecules are approximately 80 nucleotides in length. Their secondary structure includes four short double-helical elements and three loops (D, anti-codon, and T loops). Lineage: Duplodnaviria; Heunggongvirae; Uroviricota; Caudoviricetes. The record is from RNAcentral.